GACAGAGGGUGCAAACGUUGUUCGGAAUUACUGGGCGUAAAGCGUGUGUAGGCGGCUACGUAAGUCGGAUGUGAAAGCCCCAGGCUCAACCUGGGAAGUGCACUCGAUACUGCGUAGCUUGAGUAUCGGAGAGGUUGGUGGAAUUCUCGGUGUAGAGGUGAAAUUCGUAGAUAUCGAGAGGAACACCGGUGGCGAAGGCGGCCAACUGGACGAAUACCGACGCUGAGACACGAAAGCGUGGGGAGCAAACAGG
Molecule: ribosomal RNA, 253 nt
Filed under: uncultured bacterium
Lineage: Bacteria
Description: partial 16S ribosomal RNA
Rfam family: Bacterial small subunit ribosomal RNA
Source: RNAcentral